CACGUAGGGCGCAAGCGUUGUCCGGAAUUAUUGGGCGUAAAGAGCUCGUAGGCGGUUUGUCGCGUCUGCUGUGAAAACGCGAGGCUCAACCUCGCGUCUGCAGUGGGUACGGGCAGACUAGAGUGCGGUAGGGGAGAUUGGAAUUCCUGGUGUAGCGGUGGAAUGCGCAGAUAUCAGGAGGAACACCGAUGGCGAAGGCAGAUCUCUGGGCCGUAACUGACGCUGAGGAGCGAAAGCGUGGGGAGCGAACAGG
RNAcentral lists this ribosomal RNA (253 nucleotides) under uncultured bacterium. RNAcentral describes it as "partial 16S ribosomal RNA". It matches the Rfam family "Bacterial small subunit ribosomal RNA", at positions 524 to 776 of the family's 1533-position model. The record is from RNAcentral.